AUGAUGCCCUGGAAUUUUGGUAUUUCCUUUCGACAUAAAAGGGAAAGCAACUUGAAUUUUCUCAUGGAAUCUGAAGAAAAAUUAUAUGGUGGAAGAUGGAAUAUGCUGAAAAGGAGCCACAUUUGUAGUUAUGGCAUGUUCAAUUAUUUAUGGCUUCAAGUCAAUGGGGCCUCUUCAUUGGUUUUUGAGGUCAUUAUAGUUCUUGCUCUUUCUCAUGAGUUGUAUUCGUCCAUGUAA
Molecule: long non-coding RNA, 237 nt
Filed under: Prunus dulcis (almond)
Lineage: Eukaryota; Viridiplantae; Streptophyta; Magnoliopsida; Rosales; Rosaceae
Description: sRNA ncRNA
Source: RNAcentral